CCUACGGGGGGCAGCAGUGAGGAAUAUUGGUCAAUGGACGAGAGUCUGAACCAGCCAAGUAGCGUGAAGGAUGACUGCCCUAUGGGUUGUAAACUUCUUUUAUAUGGGAAUAAAAUGUUCCACGUGUGGGAUUUUGUAUGUACCAUAUGAAUAAGGAUCGGCUAACUCCGUGCCAGCAGCCACGGUAAUACGGAGGGUCCGAGCGUUAUCCGGAUUUAUUGGGUUUAAAGGGAGCGUAGGUGGAUUGUUAAGUCAGUUGUGAAAGUUUGCGGCUCAACCGUAAAAUUGCAGUUGAAACUGGCAGUCUUGAGUACAGUAGAGGUGGGCGGAAUUCGUGGUGUAGCGGUGAAAUGCUUAGAUAUCACGAAGAACUCCGAUUGCGAAGGCAGUUCACUGGACUGCAACUGACACUGAGGCUCGAAAGUGUGGGUAUCAAACAGGAUUAGAUACCCUUGUAGUC
This 460-nucleotide ribosomal RNA is filed under the name uncultured bacterium. Its description in RNAcentral is "partial 16S ribosomal RNA". It matches the Rfam family "Bacterial small subunit ribosomal RNA", at positions 338 to 795 of the family's 1533-position model. The record is from RNAcentral.